CCUACGGGGGGCAGCAGUGGGGGAUAUUGCACAAUGGGGGAAACCCUGAUGCAGCGACGCCGCGUGGGUGAAGAAGCGCCUCGGCGCGUAAAGCCCUGUCAGCAGGGAAGAAAAUGACGGUACCUGAAGAAGAAGCCCCGGCUAACUACGUGCCAGCAGCCGCGGUAAUACGUAGGGGGCAAGCGUUAUCCGGAUUUACUGGGUGUAAAGGGGGCGUAGACGGCGAUGCAAGCCAGGAGUGAAAGCCCGGGGCCCAACCCCGGGACUGCUCUUGGAACUGGGUGGCUAGAGUGCAGGAGGGGCAGGCGGAAUUCCUGGUGUAGCGGUGAAAUGCGUAGAUAUCAGGAGGAACACCGGUGGCGAAGGCGGCCUGCUGGACUGCAACUGACGUUGAGGCCCGAAAGCGUGGGGAGCAAACAGGAUUAGAUACCCCAGUAGUC
RNAcentral lists this ribosomal RNA (440 nucleotides) under uncultured bacterium. RNAcentral's name for it is "partial 16S ribosomal RNA". It matches the Rfam family "Bacterial small subunit ribosomal RNA", at positions 338 to 795 of the family's 1533-position model. The record is from RNAcentral.